Molecule: ribosomal RNA, 497 nt
Filed under: uncultured bacterium
Lineage: Bacteria
Description: partial 16S ribosomal RNA
Rfam family: Bacterial small subunit ribosomal RNA
Source: RNAcentral
GACGAACGCUGGCGGCGUGCCUAAUACAUGCAAGUUGAGCGAUGAAGAUUGGUGCUUGCACCAAUUUGAAGAGCAGCGAACGGGCGAGUAACGCGUGGGGAAUCUGCCUUUGAGCGGGGGACAACAUUUGGAAACGAAUGCUAAUACCGCAUAACAACUUUAAACAUAAGUUUUAAGUUUGAAAGAUGCAAUUGCAUCACUCAAAGAUGAUCCCGCGUUGUAUUAGCUAGUUGGUGAGGUAAAGGCUCACCAAGGCGAUGAUACAUAGCCGACCUGAGAGGGUGAUCGGCCACAUUGGGGCUGAGACACGGCCCAAACUCCUACGGGAGGCAGCAGUAGGGAAUCUUCGGCAAUGGACGAAAGUCUGACCGAGCAACGCCGCGUGAGUGAAGAAGGUUUUCGGAUCGUAAAACUCUGUUGGUAGAGAAGAACGUUGGUGAGAGUGGAAAGCUCAUCAAGUGACGGUAACUACCCAGAAAGGGACGGCUAACUACGUG